RNAcentral lists this long non-coding RNA (2719 nucleotides) under Lytechinus variegatus (green sea urchin). RNAcentral's name for it is "uncharacterized LOC121423842". Lineage: Eukaryota; Metazoa; Echinodermata; Echinoidea; Temnopleuroida; Toxopneustidae. The record is from RNAcentral.
ACCAGACAAAGCUGCAGGCAAACACAUGUAUGGCAUAAAGAAAGUACCUUCCUGCAUCCCCAGAAGGUGAGGAUGAAGAAACGAUCAAUGCUCACAUCAAGAUGCUUCAGAAUGAAUCCAGAAAAACAAGACAGGACAGCUUGAUGAUAGACAAUCUACUAACUUUAGCCCAUAGGCGCAAGGGUAUCAUCAACAGCAACUGGACUGAAUCCUACUUGAAGGAUAUGUACCCUUACCUUUUCCAUGAAGAUGAGAGUUUGAGAGACUGUCAGAGGACCCAAUUAAGCAGAAGUUGGAAGCAGGACAUUUGAAUAUGCUGAUCCAUUACUAGAGAUAUGUAAGACUCCCAAGCAAGGUUUGGAGCUCAAAAACCUGAUCUUGGCUGCAGCAGCAGAAAAUGAAGACACCAGGAAAAUGAUCAAAUCAUGUGGAGCACUUCUGUUGAUUCCUACUAUUUUUGGAGAGAAGGCAUUGCUUUGUCAGCAUAGCCAGGAUAAAAAACGGAACAAUCGCCAAAAUCAUCUACAAAAGUAAGCCCGACAGUGCAGGUCUGACUCUGAGCAGUGAUCAUGAAAAAUUCACGGAAAUUCUGCAAUCAUCCUAUAUUACAGCAGAGAAUGAAGUCAUCUGCGAGAAAACCACCUACCUCAUGUCAGCAGUCUCUCUGCUUAUGUCGGCCCAUUAUGUAUUCAACUGAUCAUACACCCCCAAGAUGGGUAACACCCUCACAUUCAUUCAGAAGAUUCUGAUGAACAUAGAUUCCACAUCUCAACCCUCAUCCAAGGUCGUAAGAAGCCUGUAGUUCUUCAGUUUAAGAGAAAUUAAUUACUUGGGUGAUGCUACUGCAACACAGCUGAUCACACUUUCUCUACGUGCAAUCACCUUAGGUGUUGUAUCUGUCUUUUAUGUGCAAAAUAGAUUGAAAUAGAUACGACAGGUUGACCGUGAAUUUAGACAUCAAGUAUGUGCAUUAUUUCGCUUUGCUUCAGUACAAAUUUCAGUGGCCCUUGAAUUGGAAAUCUUUUCAUAUCCCAAGAAUUACGUAUAAAUGCUUAAUGAAAUUUUUGUCACAGAUAAAAUAGGAUUUUGCACACACAAAAAAGAAAAGAUAUUUGGACCCAAAAUUUUUACAGAUCAGAUGGUCAACAAUUUUUUUUUUUUUGGGGGGGGGGGGAAUUGAAGACUAAGCUAUUAAUAUUCUACUUUUUGAUUUUUGUACACAUUUUGUUACUGUACAUGUAAAUAAGUUUAACACCACAAAUUCGAAGAAUUACAACAUUUUAAAGGUUCUCUAUGGAAUUUUAGUUAGUUUGUAAGUUUCAAGCAACUUAGUAUUUAAUUCCAAGAAUUAUACAAAGGCACUUUUCAAGAUUAUGGCUUCCAACAUCAGUACAUGAUGGAAACAAUUCUCAAUGUUUACAUUUAUUGAGAUGGUAAGCACAUGCAACUGAUUUGAAACUAAUUUUAUAAAUUUGACAAAGCACUGUCAUUAAUUUUAAGCCAAUCUGCACACUUCCAAGCAUGUCAAAAGUAUUGCUUAAUAGCCCAAUCACCACAAUUAUCAUUGCCUUUAAAAAAAAUUGCACAAAAAUAUUUAAAUAGAAAAGGUCAGUAUCUGCUUGAAGAUACAGCUGCUAUAGGAGGCAGAUUUUGCGGAAAAUACCAGGGCUUCACAGUGAGAGAAAUGGUAUUAAGAAUGGGGGAUUCUGCGAAGUGCUUUAAAAAUUAAUUGAGAAUCCAAAUUGCACAUUUUGAAAUUGUCUUUUGUACUAUUAGUAGUAAAAUAUUUUUGUGGGUUUUCCUACAGCAAAAAUUGACAUUUGGGGGAUUCCCGUGUCAUGCAUGGGGAUUCUUAAAUUUAAAUUGUGUUUGUACGUAUGCUUAAGUUUGAAAAAUUUCUGAAUUUUAGGUUUCUGGAAAGCUGUUAUUGGUUUUGAAGUACCAAAACAAUGGUAUUGUGUUGUAAGCAGAGUCUUAGGAAUUCAUGUUUGAAGGUUUCACUUAUAGUGAAUUGUUUCAAAUUCAGUAAAUUAUGAAUUUCAGUGAAUUAUGAAUUGUUUCAAUUUCAGUGAAGAAAUGAUACUAUAAAAAAAUUAUGAUUUCAUUGAAUUGUUUCAAUUCCAGUGAAUUAUGAAUUUCAAUGAAUUAUGAAUUGUUUCAAUUUCAGUGAAGAAAUGUUACUGUAAAAAAUGUACGAUUUGGGAAGAGAUUUUUGUGAAGUACGAUAUUUGAAUUACAGUGGAAUCUCAUUAUAACGAGGUCGAAACAUUGUUAUAUCAGGGUAAAAAGAAAAGUUAUUAAGGAUAAUUACUGUGAGAAAUAAUGGACUAUCAUUAUCACACUCUCUCCAAUUUCAUAGACGUUUUGUGACAGCUUUAUCUUUGUUUAGUCGGUUAAACCAUGUUGCCAAUCAGUUAUAAAAUCUAUCACUCUCUCUUGAUAGUUUUAUUUUUUAUUUGAUGAGAGGUAGCAGUGCACUUAUUUACAUGUUUGGUGACUGGAUUCUAUGCUUGAGAAUAGAUUUUAUUAUAGAAAGAAAUGCACAUUAAACAUAAUUAUUUUUCAAGUAAACUCUUAAACAUUUAUCCCAUGAAACACAUUUCUGUCUGUUGUGGUUACAUCACUGAUGCAUAAUGGUCACUUUUGUUUUGGUAAUAUUGGUGGUGACUCCGGAGAUUUAUUGUUGAGAGGAAAUAAAUCAGAUGGCAUGUACAAUGCA